Molecule: unclassified non-coding RNA, 378 nt
Filed under: plant metagenome
Description: partial contains 5.8S ribosomal RNA, internal transcribed spacer 2, and large subunit ribosomal RNA
Rfam family: 5.8S ribosomal RNA (bases 1-105)
Source: RNAcentral
GAAAUGCGAUAAGUAAUGUGAAUUGCAGAAUUCAGUGAAUCAUCGAAUCUUUGAACGCACCUUGCGCUCCUUGGUAUUCCUUGGAGCAUGCCUGUAUGAGUAUCAUGAAAUCUUCAAAGUAAAUCUUUUGUUAACUCAAUUGGUUUCUACUUUGGUAUUGGAGGUCUUUGCAGCUUCACACCUGCUCCUCUUUGUUCAUUAGCUGGAUCUCAGUGUUAUGCUUGGUUCCACUCGGCGUGAUAAGUUAUCUAUCGCUGAGGACACUGUAAAAGGUGGCCAAGGUAAAUGCAGAUGAACCGCUUCUAAUAGUCCAUUGACUUGGACAAUACUUUUAUGAUCUGAUCUCAAAUCAGGUAGGACUACCCGCUGAACUUAAGC